This 244-nucleotide ribosomal RNA is filed under the name uncultured Staphylococcus sp. RNAcentral describes it as "partial 16S ribosomal RNA". It matches the Rfam family "Bacterial small subunit ribosomal RNA", at positions 96 to 334 of the family's 1533-position model. The record is from RNAcentral. Lineage: Bacteria; Bacillati; Bacillota; Bacilli; Caryophanales; Staphylococcaceae.
CGGCGGACGGGUGAGUAACACGUGGAUAACCUACCUAUAAGACUGGGAUAACUUCGGGAAACCGGAGCUAAUACCGGAUAAUAUAUUGAACCGCAUGGUUCAAUAGUGAAAGACGGUUUCGCUGUCACUUAUAGAUGGAUCCGCGCCGCAUUAGCUAGUUGGUAAGGUAACGGCUUACCAAGGCAACGAUGCGUAGCCGACCUGAGAGGGUGAUCGGCCACACUGUAACUGAGACACGGUCCAG